CUUGCAGCUGCCCCCAGCGCUGCCCUACCCCACUGCCCCUCGUGUCCAGACACUGCAAGCUGGGCAGGUGCCUCCAGCCAGGGAGGUCAGCCGUGUCCCCAUGGAGGUCAGCCAUGUUCCCAAGGAGGUCAGCCGUGUCCCCAUGGAGGUCAGCCGUGUCCCCAGGGAGGUCAGCCGUGUCCCCAUGGAGGUUAGUCAUGCCCCCAGGGAGGUCAGCCGUGUCCCCCUGGAGGUGAGCCGUGUCCCCAG
Oryctolagus cuniculus (rabbit) is the source of this 249-nucleotide non-coding RNA. Lineage: Eukaryota; Metazoa; Chordata; Mammalia; Lagomorpha; Leporidae. The record is from RefSeq and is a predicted model, not a curated record.